GGCUUCCAUCCUUGGGUAAUGGGUUGGACUUCAAAUUGUAUCCAGCACCUGGUCCAAUCACUAAAGACCGCACAUUUGCCUUUGCUGCACCUAUAGAAAAACCAGUAUUGCCAACCUGGUCGCUCCAACGCACGGAUUUUCCUUGCUUUCCAUAUGCUUGAAUUAACCCAGAAAGAGCAUUUAAAUUGCCCUUCAUUCUUUCAUACCCUUCUGUAUCAUCUUCAUCUAAAUCAUCUGACCAUUUACUUUUACCUAAUUCUUUCACUCCUUGUGCAGAAUGGUCCUCUUCAGCAUCCCAUCUCUUCCCAUCUUUUGGAGGAACCUGAGGCAGAUUAUCCUCCAAGAGUUCAGGUAUGGCAUUCUCAGUAUUUCUUUCCAGCAGUCCAGGUGGAUUAUCAUCAUCUUCAGUAUCCAUAUCAACCUCUUGAAUUCCACUUUCCUUCAGAUCAUCACCGUGGAAUAAUGACUUGAUAUCCAGUUGCAAGUAUAAUGCCGGAGCUUCUUCCCACUGCCGAGCCAUGUCCUUUAUUUCAGUUAGUGUAAAACCAUGUACAUUCCUAGCUGCACAGCCCACAGGGUCUUUAUAUGGAGCUUCUGAUAUGUAAACUUCAUAGCCAGAUCUCUUUGCAAUUGCCCAAAACUGAGCAAAAU
Molecule: unclassified non-coding RNA, 651 nt
Filed under: Hevea brasiliensis (rubber tree)
Lineage: Eukaryota; Viridiplantae; Streptophyta; Magnoliopsida; Malpighiales; Euphorbiaceae
Source: RNAcentral